ACGAGAUAUGGGUAUUUCGGUAAUUAACAAACAUCUACCAAAAUGAAUAUGAUUAAUUAUUGGGUUUGAAUGGUUCAAGAAAGGUGUACUGAAAUAAAAUCAUAAACUAUUCUUUAUAUCUCGCGAAAUCAUGAAAUUCCUAAGUCGUCUGAUGACGUAUCGAGGUUGACUACGUCACACCGGCGCUUGCAGCUGUGAUCAGAAUAAACAUGUGGACUUCAGUGAUAUAUCUCGGAAUUUAACUCGUUUACAACCAGCGUGGACAGAAAUCGGCAUAGGAUUCAACUGAACAAGGGUUACUUAGGCAGUAGAUGGUCCACUGAAAACACUUCUUGGGAUGUUGAUGAAAAGUAUUGGUUUUCUUAUCAACUGGACUACCUCCUAAUAUCAAAAAGACAGAAGAGAAGAACAUUUAGUGUGCAAGAAGAAUUUUCAAUUUCCAUAAAUUACACAUUAUGACUGAAAAAUACUAAAAAUCAGAAAACACUAGUCUUGUU
Molecule: long non-coding RNA, 497 nt
Organism: Magallana angulata
Lineage: Eukaryota; Metazoa; Mollusca; Bivalvia; Ostreida; Ostreidae
Exons: 3
Source: RefSeq, a predicted model, not a curated record